Long non-coding RNA from Chelonia mydas (Green sea turtle), 2725 nucleotides. RefSeq lists it as uncharacterized. Lineage: Eukaryota; Metazoa; Chordata; Testudines; Cheloniidae. The transcript has 4 exons. The record is from RefSeq and is a predicted model, not a curated record.
CACGCCUCUCUUUGCAUCCCUCCACUGGUUCCCUUUUCUCUAUCACAUCAAACAUUAACUGCUGGGCUUCACUUUCCAGGCCCUUCACAGUCUAUCCCUACCCUACCUAUCAUCUCACAUUCACUAUUGAAAUGUCAACUCCAGCUUCCAAUUGGCCAGUGAUUACUGAUUUGCUAAAUUUUCAAACAAGCACUUUCAUACUUUCUCCCAUGCUGUCCCUCAUGCUUGGAAGGAGCUCCUCAUAAACAUCCACAAAACUAACUCAUCAUCUUUGUAAUGGGGUGGACUUGAAGGUUUGCCUACAGACAACCCAGGGGUUGCUGCAAGAAGAGAAAUGCCAAAGGCUAUGUCUUGAUGCUAGGUUGGAGCUUGCAGAAACCGAGAAGAGCUAUGUCAAAGAACACAUACGUAAAGAAGCUGAGCGGAACAAAGGCCUGGUAAAGGAGAUUUUCGUCUGGAGGACAGAUAGAAGGAAGCAAGAUAUCUGUUCAUGCUACAGAAGAAUAGUCUUCCCCUGCCACCCCCCAAUCCCAUCCCACUACAAGAAGAAAUCGGAACAGGCCAUAGCUGGAGUUAGGGAUGAUUCAGCGUACCCUUCAGCAACAGGUUGCUGAGUUGGCCAGUGAGGUUGAUAGAAGACACAUAUUUGCAGAAGCACAUGGGGCAUUGAGAAAACAACUCCAGAACCUAAUAGAAAUACACGACCAUGGCACUGAAAAGCAUGUAGAAAUGUGUGACAAGGAACCAAGCACAGGGACGACAGAGCAAGAAACUUGUGUUAGCACAGGCAAAUUAAUUAGCAAGGAAUAUUGCUAAACAGGGUCCCUGGGCUAGAAUCCUUAUCACUCCCCCCAGACCAAUAGGGGAAGUUCAGGCAUCAAGAGUAAAAAAAGUCAAGAACUAUGAGUUCCAAAUAGAAGCCAAGGAAUGGGCUUAGAGGCCAUUAGACUUUUGGGUUUUCUUGUUUUGGACUUUUCUGCUAACCCUGGAAGCAAAAUGGAUUGAGAGGUGACCUGGUUAGAGGAUGGAUAAAGGGGGCCUUAGACUGAAAGAACACCUGCAACACCCUAUCUUGACAGGAGGGUUGCUCUGGAGGUGAGAGGCUCAACUGCACUCCUUCAAAACCCUCCUUUGCUGUGAGGUCUACAAAAAAAAUGACAACAGUUAAGUCACUGGUGCUCUGGUACCUUGUAUUCUUGCAUCUCAGUGUCUAUCUAUCUGUUAUCCCUUGCCUUAUACUUAGAUUGUAAGCUGCUUUGGGCAGAGACAGUCUUUUAGUUCUGUGUUUGUACAGAGCCAUGGUGCAUGAUGGAGACUCUUAGGUGCAAUGGUAGUACAAAUUAAUUAUUAUUGUGCUAGUGUAGUGCCUAGAAAGCUCAGUCAGAAUGGGAUAAUUUGUCCUGGCUUCUGUACAAACAAAUAGACCUUACAAGCUAAAAUUGUCAUAUCUACCUACUAUGGGUCAUUUUAAAAUUUUUUACUCCCCUGUGGAUUGAAAUGAGUCUAACAACAACUUGAAAGAAUUAUUCACAAAUACUCUAGAAUGAACCAACCUUUAGCAAUGAACUUUGUGUCUCUUUGUGAUCUAUGCUGUAUUUUUGUGUGGUGUACACAUUUACAUUGGCUUGUGGAGUUUGUGCUCGUUUCUUUGUAGGCCUUGCAGACAUUGGUAAGAGUAUAGUGAUCUCCUGUGCGGUGGAAGAUUUUUUGCCAGCAGGUAAGAGUAACCUCCUCUGUUCCAGGGGAUGGAUGAUAGGUGCUUUUAGAAAAGGGGAAAACAAAUCAAGCCAACAAUAAUCCAAACCACUAGGUGCCUGUCACAAUGUACAGUGGGCAACAAGUCCAUUAACUUUUUUCUGAUAGUACCCUCCACACUGGCCUCCAGUCUGGGAUCUCUUGUGGUGCCUGACAGUGAAGAGAGGAAUAGGAAUAUUCCUUCACCCCUUCAUUCAUUUUUUGCUUGCUUCCUUUUCAGUGGAAGUGGACAAAAGAUACUGGGACGAUUCCAAGAAGAGGAUUGAACGCAGGGAGAAGCCAACGAAGAGGAAAGCCAAGGGCAAGCUCUUACAGAGCUGCCAACUUUCCCAGUUUUUUUGUGAACCUUGUGAUUGUAUUUGUUUUUUUAAUAACUGCUCAAGUGUCGGAAGAAAGAUGAGGAUGAUCUUACGCUCACCAAAAAUGGCUGCCCUUCGCUAUUGUUUCCACAGAACUGAAGCACAGGCUGCUCUCACCACAGACAGCUGCCAUCUCCCUAUAGCCUUUGCAGAUUAUGCCAUAAUAAGUAGCUAUUCUGAUUCCUGCAACAAGACUGGAGAACAGGAAUUACUCUGUCAACAAAUGCAGGUACUGAUGGUGGUUCCAUCCUUCAAGUGACAUGCUAAGGAAACAUGACUCAAAGACGACAGGAGACAGCAGUGUGUACAAGCAGACAGCAAUGCGGCUGGCACUACAUGUAGCUGAUGAGAUGGAUGUCAAUACUUGCCAUGAAGUGGGUUAUGUUGUCCCAUUUGAGAGCUGCUGUACCACUGAAACAGUUCAGAGGUCUGAGGAUUUGUCUUUAAUCCCUCUAACAUUGUAUGAAUGUCAUUCCUUGAAAUGAAGCACUAGACCUAGGUAAAUGGCAGCUCUGGAAUCCUUUGCCAAUCACUGAACUGUAGCACAACUCACCAAAACAAAAACAAAACAAAACAAAAAAAACCCCAAAACCCACACACAAUCCAAACAC